This 542-nucleotide ribosomal RNA is filed under the name Aspergillus ochraceus. RNAcentral describes it as "partial large subunit ribosomal RNA". It matches the Rfam family "Eukaryotic large subunit ribosomal RNA", at positions 109 to 666 of the family's 3401-position model. The record is from RNAcentral. Lineage: Eukaryota; Fungi; Ascomycota; Eurotiomycetes; Eurotiales; Aspergillaceae.
UCAAAUUUGAAAUCUGGCCCCCUCGGGGUCCGAGUUGUAAUUUGCAGAGGAUGCUUCGGGUGCGGCCCCCGUCUAAGUGCCCUGGAACGGGCCGUCAUAGAGGGUGAGAAUCCCGUCUGGGACGGGGUGUCCGCGUCCGUGUGAAGCUCCUUCGACGAGUCGAGUUGUUUGGGAAUGCAGCUCUAAAUGGGUGGUAAAUUUCAUCUAAAGCUAAAUACUGGCCGGAGACCGAUAGCGCACAAGUAGAGUGAUCGAAAGAUGAAAAGCACUUUGAAAAGAGAGUUAAAAAGCACGUGAAAUUGUUGAAAGGGAAGCGCUUGCGACCAGACUCGCCCGCGGGGUUCAGCCGGCAUUCGUGCCGGUGUACUUCCCCGCGGGCGGGCCAGCGUCGGUUUGGGCGGCCGGUCAAAGGCCCCCGGAAUGUAGCACCCUUCGGGGUGCCUUAUAGCCGGGGGUGCAAUGCGGCCAGCCUGGACCGAGGAACGCGCUUCGGCACGGACGCUGGCAUAAUGGUCGUAAACGACCCGUCUUGAAACACGGAC